UCCUGGUUGGCUCAGUCGGCUGAGCAUCUGACUUCGGCUCAGGUCAUGAUCUCACGGUUUGUGGGUUCGAGCCCUGCACUGGGCU
Molecule: transfer RNA, 85 nt
Filed under: Felis catus (domestic cat)
Lineage: Eukaryota; Metazoa; Chordata; Mammalia; Carnivora; Felidae
Rfam family: tRNA
About the family: Transfer RNA (tRNA) molecules are approximately 80 nucleotides in length. Their secondary structure includes four short double-helical elements and three loops (D, anti-codon, and T loops). Further hydrogen bonds mediate the characteristic L-shaped molecular structure. tRNAs have two regions of fundamental functional importance: the anti-codon, which is responsible for specific mRNA codon recognition, and the 3' end, to which the tRNAs corresponding amino acid is attached (by aminoacyl-tRNA synthetases). tRNAs cope with the degeneracy of the genetic code in two manners: having more than one tRNA (with a specific anti-codon) for a particular amino acid; and 'wobble' base-pairing, i.e. permitting non-standard base-pairing at the 3rd anti-codon position.
Source: Rfam by way of RNAcentral